RNAcentral lists this ribosomal RNA (504 nucleotides) under uncultured bacterium. RNAcentral describes it as "partial 16S ribosomal RNA". It matches the Rfam family "Bacterial small subunit ribosomal RNA", at positions 29 to 523 of the family's 1533-position model. The record is from RNAcentral.
AUUGAACGCUGGCGGCAGGCCUAACACAUGCAAGUCGGACGGUAGCACAGAGAGCUUGCUCUCGGGUGACGAGUGGCGGACGGGUGAGUAAUGUCUGGGGAUCUGCCCGAUAGAGGGGGAUAACCACCGGAAACGGUGGCUAAUACCGCAUAACGUCGCAAGACCAAAGAGGGGGACCUUCGGGCCUCUCACUAUCGGAUGAACCCAGAUGGGAUUAGCUAGUAGGCGGGGUAACGGCCCACCUAGGCGACGAUCCCUAGCUGGUCUGAGAGGAUAAACAGCCACCAUGGAACUAAGACACGGCACAGACUCCUACGGGAGGCAGCAGUGGGGAAUAUUGCACAAUGGGCGCAAGCCUGAUGCGGCAAUGCCGGGGGUAUGAAGAAGGCCUUAGGGUUGUAAAGUACUUUCAGCGGGGAGGAAGGCGAUGUGGUUAAUAACCGCAUUGAUUGACGUUACCCGCAGAAGAAGCACCGGCUAACUCCGUGCCAGCAGCCGCCGUAA